This 1092-nucleotide ribosomal RNA is filed under the name Rathayibacter sp. AY1E1. Its description in RNAcentral is "bacterial LSU rRNA". It matches the Rfam family "Bacterial large subunit ribosomal RNA", at positions 590 to 1553 of the family's 2925-position model. Lineage: Bacteria; Bacillati; Actinomycetota; Actinomycetes; Micrococcales; Microbacteriaceae. The record is from RNAcentral.
GGGGUGACGGCGUGCCUUUUGAAGAAUGAGCCUGCGAGUUAGUGCUCUGUGGCGAGGUUAACCCGUGUGGGGCAGCCGUAGCGAAAGCGAGUCCGAAUAGGGCGAUUCAGUCGCAGGGUCUAGACCCGAAGCGAAGUGAUCUAUCCAUGGCCAGGUUGAAGCGACGGUAAGACGUCGUGGAGGACCGAACCCACUUCAGUUGAAAAUGGAGGGGAUGAGCUGUGGAUAGGGGUGAAAGGCCAAUCAAACUUCGUGAUAGCUGGUUCUCUCCGAAAUGCAUUUAGGUGCAGCGUUGCGUGUUUCUUGCCGGAGGUAGAGCUACUGGAUGGCCGAUGGGGCCCAAAAGCUUACUGACGUCAGCCAAACUCCGAAUGCCGGUAAGUGAGAGCGCAGCAGUGAGACUGUGGGGGAUAAGCUUCAUAGUCGAGAGGGAAACAACCCAGACCACCAACUAAGGUCCCUAAGCGCGUGCUAAGUGGGAAAGGAUGUGGAGUUGCACAGACAACCAGGAGGUUGGCUUAGAAGCAGCCACCCUUGAAAGAGUGCGUAAUAGCUCACUGGUCAAGUGAUUCCGCGCCGACAAUGUAACGGGGCUCAAGCACGCCACCGAAGUUGUGGCAUUGACAUUAGUGGUAGGCCUUCGUGGUCCAGCCGUGUUGAUGGGUAGGAGAGCGUCGUGUGGCGAGUGAAGCGGCGGUGUGAACCAGCCGUGGAUGCCACACGAGUGAGAAUGCAGGCAUGAGUAGCGAAAGACGGGUGAGAAACCCGUCCUCCGGAAGACCAAGGGUUCCAGGGUCAAGCUAAUCUUCCCUGGGUAAGUCGGGACCUAAGGCGAGGCCGACAGGCGUAGUCGAUGGACAACGGGUUGAUAUUCCCGUACCGGCGAAGAACCGCCCAAGACAAUCCAGUAGUGCUAAGUAUCUGAAUCCCUUUGAUGGAUCCCUUCGGGGUGAAGCGUUGGGCCUAGCGUACGACCCCGUGCUGGUGCGUUUAGCGUAUUAACAGGUGUGACGCAGGAAGGUAGCCGAGCCGGGCGAUGGUUGUCCCGGUCUAAGGAUGUAGGGCGAACGAUAGGCAAAUCCGUCGUUCAUA